UUCGUAGGCGGUGUGGCAAGUCGGGAGGUGAAAUACUCUGGGCUUAACUCAGAGACUGCUUCCGAAACUGCUGUGCUUGAGUGUGGGAGAGGCGCGUGGAAUUGCAGGUGUAGCGGUGAAAUGCGUAGAUAUCUGCAGGAACACCCGUGGCGAAAGCGGCGCGCUGGACCACUACUGACGCUGAGGAACGAAAGCUAGGGGAGCAAACAGGAUUAGAUACCCUGGUAGUCCUAGCCCUAAACGAUCGGGACUUGGGGUGCCGCACGUUCGUGCGUCGUCCCGGAGCUAACGCGUUAAGUCCCGCGCCUGGGGAGUACGGUCGCAAGACUGAA
Molecule: ribosomal RNA, 332 nt
Filed under: uncultured bacterium
Lineage: Bacteria
Description: bacterial SSU rRNA
Rfam family: Bacterial small subunit ribosomal RNA
Source: RNAcentral